CCCUUAGAUGUUCUGGGCCGCACGCGCGCUACAAUGAUGAAUUCAACGAGUUUAUAACCUUGGUUGAAAAGCCUGGGUAAUCUUUUGAACUUUCGUCGUGAUGGGGCUAGACCCUUGCAAUUAUUGGUCUCCAACGAGGAGUUCCUAGUAAACGCAAGUCAUCAGCUUGCAUUGAUUACGUCCCUGCCCUUUGUACACACCGCCCGUCGCUACUACCGAUUGAACGGUUUAGUGAGGGCCUCGGAUUGGUCUCGGCCCGCUCUUUACCGGGCGGCGCCGUUGGUCGAGAAGACGCUCGAACUUGAUCGUUUAGAGGAAGUAAAAGUCGUAACA
RNAcentral lists this ribosomal RNA (333 nucleotides) under uncultured eukaryote. Its description in RNAcentral is "partial 18S ribosomal RNA". It matches the Rfam family "Eukaryotic small subunit ribosomal RNA", at positions 1470 to 1796 of the family's 1831-position model. The record is from RNAcentral.